CAGCCGCCGCGGUAAAACCAGCACCUCAAGUGGUCAGGAUGAUUAUUGGGCCUAAAGCAUCCGUAGCUCGUUUUGUAAGUUUUCGGUUAAAUCCAUACGCUUAACGUAUGGGCUGCCGGGAAUACUGCAUAACUAGGAAGUGGGAGAGGUAGACGGUACUCGGUAGGAAGGGGUAAAAUCCUUUGAUCUAUUGAUGACCACCUGUGGCGAAGGCGGUCUACCAGAACACGUUCGACGGUGAGGGAUGAAAGCUGGGGGAGCAAACCGGAUUAGAUACCCGGGUAGUCCCAGCUGUAAACUAUGCAAACUCAGUGAUGCAUUGGCUUGUGGCCAAUGCAGUGCUGCAGGGAAGCCGUUAAGUUUGCCGCCUGGGAGGUACGUACGCAAGUAUGAAACUUAAAGGAAUUGGCGGGGGAGCAC
Molecule: ribosomal RNA, 420 nt
Filed under: uncultured Nitrososphaerota archaeon
Lineage: Archaea; Thermoproteati; Nitrososphaerota
Description: bacterial SSU rRNA
Rfam family: Archaeal small subunit ribosomal RNA
Source: RNAcentral